RNAcentral lists this ribosomal RNA (484 nucleotides) under uncultured bacterium. RNAcentral describes it as "partial 16S ribosomal RNA". It matches the Rfam family "Bacterial small subunit ribosomal RNA", at positions 30 to 507 of the family's 1533-position model. The record is from RNAcentral.
AUUGAACGCUGGCGGCAGGCCUAACGCAUGCAAGUCGAGCGGAUGAAGGGAGCUUGCUCCUGGAUUCAGCGGCGGACGGGUGAGUAAUGCCUAGGAAUCUGCCUGGUAGUUGGGGAUAACGUCCGGAAACGGGCGCUAAUACCGCAUACGUCCUGAGGGAGAAAGUGGGGGAUCUUCGGACCUCACGCUAUCAGAUGAGCCUAGGUCGGAUUAGCUAGUUGGUGGGGUAAAGGCCUACCAAGGCGACGAUCCGUAACUGGUCUGAGAGGAUGAUCAGUCACACUGGAACUGAGACACGGUCCAGACUCCUACGGGAGGCAGCAGUGGGGAAUAUUGGACAAUGGGCGAAAGCCUGAUCCAGCCAUGCCGCGUGUGUGAAGAAGGUCUUCGGAUUGUAAAGCACUUUAAGUUGGGAGGAAGGGCAGUAAGUUAAUACCUUGCUGUUUUGACGUUACCAAAAGAAUAAGCACCGGCUAACUUCGUG